Molecule: ribosomal RNA, 429 nt
Filed under: bacterium
Lineage: Bacteria
Description: partial 16S ribosomal RNA
Rfam family: Bacterial small subunit ribosomal RNA
Source: RNAcentral
UAGGGAAUCUUCGGCAAUGGGGGCAACCCUGACCGAGCAACGCCGCGUGAGUGAAGAAGGUUUUCGGAUCGUAAAGCUCUGUUGUAAGAGAAGAACGUGUGUGAGAGUGGAAAGUUCACACAGUGACGGUAACUUACCAGAAAGGGACGGCUAACUACGUGCCAGCAGCCGCGGUAAUACGUAGGUCCCGAGCGUUGUCCGGAUUUAUUGGGCGUAAAGCGAGCGCAGGCGGUUUAAUAAGUCUGAAGUUAAAGGCAGUGGCUUAACCAUUGUUCGCUUUGUAAACUGUUAAACUUGAGUGCAGAAGGGGAGAGUGGAAUUCCAUGUGUAGCGGUGAAAUGCGUAGAUAUAUGGAGGAACACCGGUGGCUAAAGCGGCUCUCUGGUCUGUAACUGACGCUGAGGCUCGAAAGCGUGGGGAGCAAACAGG